UUUGACCCCAGGUUUCCCUUGAGGACUGCAGAGUUUGGUAACAGCCUGCACCCUUGUUUUUACCACCAAAGUACAAUCUCUGUCUCAGGAGCAGUUAGGUGCUCCCUUGAAAUGGUCAGGAGCCCCAGAAGGUCAUCUGUCACCUGUACAACUGUUUGUCAGCUGAGCAAGGACACACACGCCUCAGGACAGGAUGAGAGACCACCUGAGGAGCAGGUGGGCUUUGUAAAGGUAAAUAUUACAUAAGGAAGCAAAAGUGCUCUGAGGAAAGUUUAAGGAGACGCGAGUGGAUUAGGUCUCAAGUUUUUCCAAAACGAAAGUACUCAAGCUUUCUCCCCCAGAUUCAACAUCAUCUCUGGCAGCUGUCACCAAGAAAACUGCAGAGAGAAACAUGCAUCUUGCUUUUCAAAAAUUCCUAGAGGCCAAAGUGAUUUGAUCAAUUUAAAACCCAGUGGAGAUACACCACUCGCAGCGUGCCUGUGUCAACUGCGGAGGGAAUUACACAAGGUUUGGAUGCAUCAGCUACAGGAGACAGAGACUGCACUUCUUAUAAUCACGCUGCCACUGUUGGUUCUGGAGUAAUUGCCAUCUCUUAUUUCUCUUGUCCCUGCCCUCUUCCCUGGAAAGAUCACCUUCACUAAGCUCCCUUCAGGCCUGUGCUGUUUCCAAGGUUUCCGGCAUAGUGUGGAGGGACCAGUCUUCUCCUCCU
RNAcentral lists this long non-coding RNA (709 nucleotides) under Chinchilla lanigera (long-tailed chinchilla). RNAcentral's name for it is "lncRNA (ENSCLAG00000028197.1)". The record is from RNAcentral. Lineage: Eukaryota; Metazoa; Chordata; Mammalia; Rodentia; Chinchillidae.